This is a non-coding RNA of Ipomoea nil (Japanese morning glory), 73 nucleotides long. The record is from Rfam. NCBI's taxonomy places the organism in Eukaryota, Viridiplantae, Streptophyta, Magnoliopsida, Solanales, Convolvulaceae.
GAGUCCAUGGCCCAAUGGAUAAGGUUCUGGUCUACAAAACCAAAGAAUCUGGGUUCGAUAACGAGUGGAGUCG